GCACGAAGAACACAUUAUCGUCCUUCCACACACACCCGUCCACAUCGACGCAUACACACGCGCACGCACGCGUAUACCACUGUGAGUGUGUGUGGGGGUGGGGGUGGGGAGGAUAUCUGUGCAAAUGUCCUCCCCCUCUCCUCCUCUCCGUCUGUCUUUUUCUCUAUCUGUAUGUGUGUGUGUCUGUGUGUCUACGUUUCUUAUUGCUACUGCUCAGCCUUGUGUGAGCGUGUGGUGGUGCGGUUCCGCCCUCCCCCUAUUCCAGCCACUCCCUGGUAGGACGGCGUCCCUCUUCUUGUUUCUUUGGUUUAUGUGUUCGUCUCCUGGUCACGCACUCACGCGCACAUCAUUUUUGUUUUUCCAUCGACUUCCCUAGUUUGCUGGCUCGCCUAAACGCGUCCGUUGGCCUGCUGUCGUCGCCGUCGUCAGCAACCGCUUUAAACCGGCCCGCGGGAAGCAGAUGCGGGGAUGACGGGCGAUGGACCGCGCCGGCGGUACUCUCCGUAUCUGAUGUUUUUCCUUCGUUUCUGGGACAGCGCUUGCGUGCGCUUGUGUGGAUAAUGUAAGCGUGUGUCUCCCUCACCUUUUUUGUGUUUUUGUUGUUUAGAUUGGUUUGUGCGGCAUGUUGCUGGCUCUCUUUUCGCCUCCCCCUCCUCCCUCCCUUCCUCCUUUCUUUCCCCACCCCCACACGUGUCCUCUCUUCCCCCUUUUUUUCGCUUCGUGUUGCCUUCACAUUUGGUUGCUCUUGUUCUUCAUGUACAUAGCCGCGCUCUCCUUUUCCUCAUCCUCCUCCCUCCCUCCCUCGCUUUUUUUUUGCAACGGGGCGCCUCUUCUUUCUUCUUUCUUGUAUGGCCUUCAGUGGUGGUGGAGGGAAGGAGGAGGGUAGAGGUAGAGGGGGGUGCCAGUCAUCACCACCCUUUUCCUUAUCUCCGUUCUCGCUUGGGCCUCUCUGUCGUUCCUGCGUUGGGAAGGCAGAGAGUAUAUGCCCCCCCCCUCCCCAGGUGUUUGUGUGUGUGUGUGUGUGUGUGUGUGGUGUCUGUCUGUCUCUCUGUGCCUGUCCGUCGGUCUCUCGUGCAUAUGUCUGCUGUUUUUCGUGCUUGUCUCAUCGUCUUCUGAAAGCUUGCGACAGGAAUGGAACAGGGAGUGCGGAUCGCAAAACGAUGUGGUGAGGAAGAGUGAGUGUGAACGCUCUCUCCGCCAUGCAAAUGACAUGCUUCACCAGGCACUUCUCUUCACCCCGAUUGUGUUCUUCGUCUCGCUUCAGGACUCGAGGAGCUGAGUUGUUGCAAGUAUUUCGUUUUUUCUCUACCCACCCCCUUGGGUGACAGAAAGGGGGGAUACGUAAGUCUACCUAUUCGUGCGCAGUACUACCCCAAUGAUGACUGCCCAAGAGCAGGAUUUUUCUCUGACAGCUGUGCCGGUGUCAGGGGAGGCAUCGAGAGUGCGAGUGGAGGGAUACCAAAUCAGUGUACUCUUCCACAGAAAUAGGGAACUCGCCAGUCAAGAAGCGUUGGGAACGUGGAUUGGAACGCGUCAAACUUUAUGUUUUGAUAUCAUUCUCCCCGCUCAUUUUGUCUCUCGAGGCCAGGCUGAUGUGAGUGUGUGUAUGUGUGUGCGUGUGAUACAUACGCGUCGUGCCAUCGCACGCAAGCCUCAUUCUCCCGUUGCUGUUGUUUUCUGUCUCUCACCCUCCGCCGCCCGUGCGCGGCGACGACGUUAUAUGCGCACGCAUACAUAUAUAUAUAUAUAUAUAUAUAUAUG
This 1761-nucleotide unclassified non-coding RNA is filed under the name Leishmania donovani. RNAcentral's name for it is "gene:unknown". Lineage: Eukaryota; Euglenozoa; Kinetoplastea; Trypanosomatida; Trypanosomatidae. The record is from RNAcentral.